RNAcentral lists this ribosomal RNA (1065 nucleotides) under Foraminiferan sp. 1222. RNAcentral describes it as "bacterial SSU rRNA". It matches the Rfam family "Eukaryotic small subunit ribosomal RNA", at positions 1214 to 1815 of the family's 1831-position model. The record is from RNAcentral. Lineage: Eukaryota; Foraminifera.
CUUACCGGGUCCGGACACACUGAGGAUUGACAGGCGUUUACUGUGUUUUGGGAUUUCGUGGCACCUUCGGGUGUUGUGUUAUGUUCAUUUCCAGUAUAGCAAAUAUGCUAGUCCUUUCAUGAUUGUGUGAUAGGUGGUGCAUGGCCGUUCUUAGUUCGUGGAGUGAUCUGUCUGCUUAAUUGCGUUUCACAUUAAGAACGAAAGAGUCCCGCCUGUGUUUGUGGUACGCCACGAAUACGGCUUUUAUGUGGAUUUCUACAACGUUCUGAAGGCAACGAACGUGACCGCAACCUCUAGUUGCCCGCUUUUUUGCUUCGGUCAUCCCUUUACGGGGGUGUACUGGGCAAUACCACGCGGCGCUAACUAGAGGGACCGCUAGUAACUUUCAAACAGAGGAAGGUUGCGGCAAUAACAGGUCUGUGAUGCCCUUAGAUGUUCCGGGCUGCACACGUGCUACAACGAUUGUUGCAGUAAGCAUCUCUCCCAUUGUAUGUCCUCCCUCUUCAACUGGCUUUCGGGUCGGUGAGGGUAGUGACACCACUUUACCGUUUCACCUUGCUUUGUGUUGUUGAUUUGCUUCGACUUUCGGGUCGUUGUUAGAUUAGCGAUCGUUGCUUGCUGUGAACUGUGUUUAGUGUCGACCUACUUCGAAAGUGUUUAGGCAAUCACUUAGAAGUAACAACCCAAUUUCCCGCCACUUUAUACAUCUCUUGCUCCGCUCCUAUCUAGUCACUUCGGUGUACUUCGGAUGGGUUUACAUGUGGACUUGAUGAUGUUGCGCUCCAUAAAUUCGUUGUGGGGACAGACCAUUGCUAAUUGUUGGUCUCGGUCUCAACUAGAAAUGCCUUGUAGAUGUGGUUCAACAAACCGCAUCGAAUAUGUCCCUGCCUUUUGUACACACCGCCCGUCGCUCUUACCGAUGGACUUCGCUGCGAGUUUGAGGGACUGGCAAUUAUGCUGUUUGAGGGCCUUCGGGCUUUCCUCUCUCAGUUUGCUAUGGAAACUUAAACGAACAGUGUGGUCUAAAGGAAAGAGAAGUCGUAACAAGGCAUCUGUAGGUGAACC